This 468-nucleotide ribosomal RNA is filed under the name uncultured bacterium. RNAcentral's name for it is "partial 16S ribosomal RNA". It matches the Rfam family "Bacterial small subunit ribosomal RNA", at positions 28 to 507 of the family's 1533-position model. The record is from RNAcentral.
GACGAACGCUGGCGGCGUGCUUAACACAUGCAAGUCGAACGGAAAGGCCCUGCUUUUGUGGGGUGCUCGAGUGGCGAACGGGUGAGUAACACGUGAGUAACCUGCCCUUGACUUUGGGAUAACUUCAGGAAACUGGGGCUAAUAUCGGAUAGGAGCUCCUGCUGCAUGGUGGGGGAUGGAAAGUUUCGGCGGUUGGGGAUGGACUCGCGGCUUAUCAGCUUGUUGGUGGGGUAGUGGCUUACCAAGGCUUUGACGGGUAGCCGGCCUGGGAGGGUGACCGGCCACAUUGGGACUGAGAUACGGCCCAGACUCCUACGGGAGGCAGCAGUGGGGAAUAUUGCACAAUGGGCGGAAGCCUGAUGCAGCAACGCCGCGUGCGGGAUGACGGCCUUCGGGUUGUAAACCGCUUUCGCCUGUGACGAAGCGUGAGUGACGGUAAUGGGUAAAGAAGCACCGGCUAACUACGUG